GGUGGGGUGGCCGAGCGGCUGAAGGCGCCGGUCUUGAAAACCGGUAACGGGUUAUCCCGUUCGCGGGUUCGAAUCCCGCCCCCACCG
Molecule: transfer RNA, 87 nt
Filed under: Phycisphaeraceae bacterium
Lineage: Bacteria; Pseudomonadati; Planctomycetota; Phycisphaerae; Phycisphaerales; Phycisphaeraceae
Description: tRNA-Ser
Rfam family: tRNA
About the family: Transfer RNA (tRNA) molecules are approximately 80 nucleotides in length. Their secondary structure includes four short double-helical elements and three loops (D, anti-codon, and T loops).
Source: RNAcentral